This 206-nucleotide long non-coding RNA is filed under the name Nicotiana benthamiana. Its description in RNAcentral is "long non-coding RNA (NBEN_LNC013497)". Lineage: Eukaryota; Viridiplantae; Streptophyta; Magnoliopsida; Solanales; Solanaceae. The record is from RNAcentral.
UUCAAUCCUGAGUGUAUUUGGAGUGCAUUGAAGGUUGUUUUGGUCGGUUUAUUGGUUUUGUUGGCUUUAAAUUAUGGCCUGGAUUAUGAGAUAAUCUCUCCUAUUCAAUUCUGGGUUUCGAGUCUGGUUCACUGCUGUAUCUGUUGGUGGUUUGCUAUUGUUAUUGCUUCUAAUUUGCCUACUCAUAGGUGUUUCUCUCUUGCUUC